Molecule: ribosomal RNA, 259 nt
Filed under: Klebsiella pneumoniae
Lineage: Bacteria; Pseudomonadati; Pseudomonadota; Gammaproteobacteria; Enterobacterales; Enterobacteriaceae
Description: partial 23S ribosomal RNA
Rfam family: Bacterial large subunit ribosomal RNA
Source: RNAcentral
UCGUGAGACAGUUCGGUCCCUAUCUGCCGUGGGCGCUGGAGAAUUGAGGGGGGCUGCUCCUAGUACGAGAGGACCGGAGUGGACGCAUCACUGGUGUUCGGGUUGUCAUGCCAAUGGCACUGCCCGGUAGCUAAAUGCGGAAGAGAUAAGUGCUGAAAGCAUCUAAGCACGAAACUUGCCCCGAGAUGAGUUCUCCCUGAGACUUUAAGUCUCCUGAAGGAACGUUGAAGACGACGACGUUGAUAGGCCGGGUGUGUAA